This 550-nucleotide long non-coding RNA is filed under the name Hordeum vulgare. Its description in RNAcentral is "long non-coding RNA (HVUL_LNC002805)". The record is from RNAcentral. Lineage: Eukaryota; Viridiplantae; Streptophyta; Magnoliopsida; Poales; Poaceae.
UUUAAAAAUAUUAUAGACUCAAAAGAAAAGAAAAUUCCAUUCAUUAAAAUGGCCGGCACACACUUCGAGCAGCCCGGUCGUUUUGGUACCGCAGAAAAAUCCUGCACUCCAAUCAUUUGGCAACCAGAUGCUAGCAGUUGACAAUAUGAGCUUGAACUUAGCUGACACCCACAUAUAUUGGGUAAGUAACUGCAACGAUCGAUUACUACUACCAAUUACCACUAACGAGCUUGAGAUUUGCAACGGGCCUGAGACAGUCGCUGAGACAAGGGAAUCAAUUAAGCAAGCACAGGUGUUACAACACUUUUUAGUGAUUGCCACUUCAGUCAUAUAGAGUGUCAAAAUCACUUAUUACAGCAGUACGCAACUCGACUCGUUCUCAGCACAACACAUAUCAUCCUCCUCCUCUACGUUAAACCCGGAGGCAGCAGCUGUCAGACGACCACUAAAACAUAGCAGCACAAUUACGGUAGAAAAUAAUCCAGCCAUAUGCAGACAAGGAUUAAUAAUUAUGGUAAAUAAUUAAGUAGCCACAUCCAUCCAUGCNNNN